UACGGGGGGGGCAAGCGUUGUUCGGAAUUACUGGGCGUAAAGGGCGCGUAGGCGGUUGGAUAAGUCAGCUGUGAAAACCACGGGCUUAACUCGUGGCCUGCAGUUGAGACUGUCUGGCUUGAGUGUGGGAGAGGAGAGUGGAAUUCCUGGUGUAGCGGUGAAAUGCGUAGAUAUCGGAAGGAACAUCAGUGGCGAAAGCGACUUCCUGGACCAAUACUGACGCUCAUGUGCGAAAGCGUGGGGAGCAAACAGG
Molecule: ribosomal RNA, 253 nt
Filed under: uncultured bacterium
Lineage: Bacteria
Description: partial 16S ribosomal RNA
Rfam family: Bacterial small subunit ribosomal RNA
Source: RNAcentral